Molecule: long non-coding RNA, 101 nt
Organism: Octopus sinensis (East Asian common octopus)
Lineage: Eukaryota; Metazoa; Mollusca; Cephalopoda; Octopoda; Octopodidae
Exons: 3
Source: RefSeq, a predicted model, not a curated record
AUAUAUAUAUAUAUAUAUAACCGAGGCUGGCUGUGUGUGUGUGUACGUAAAUGUAAUUUACGCACGUCCACAAAUUAACACGCAUGUCGCUCCAAUUUCAG